GCAGUGUACCCGCGGCAAGACGGAAAGACCCCGUGAACCUUUACUAUAGCUUGACACUGAACAUUGAGCCUUGAUGUGUAGGAUAGGUGGGAGGCUUUGAAGCGUGGACGCCAGUCUGCGUGGAGCCGACCUUGAAAUACCACCCUUUAAUGUUUGAUGUUCUAACGUUGGCCCCUUACCGGGGUUGCGGACAGUGUCUGGUGGGUAGUUUGACUGGGGCGGUCUCCUCCCAAAGCGUAACGGAGGAGCACGCAG
Molecule: ribosomal RNA, 255 nt
Filed under: Klebsiella pneumoniae
Lineage: Bacteria; Pseudomonadati; Pseudomonadota; Gammaproteobacteria; Enterobacterales; Enterobacteriaceae
Description: partial 23S ribosomal RNA
Rfam family: Bacterial large subunit ribosomal RNA
Source: RNAcentral